AUUCUGGUCGAAAAGCAUGACCAGGACUUGCCUGAUCUCAUGAGUUCAGACAAAAAAAAAACAAAACAAAAACAAAAAUCAAAAAACAAAAAUCAAAAAAAAAAUCAAAGUCAAAAAUAGGAAAAAAGAAAGAAAGAAAAAAAAGGAGAGGUUAAGGCGAAAACCCGCAAAGGGCACUUUGACCAAAUGUGGAUCUGAGUUGAAAACCCGAAAAAGGGCGAC
Molecule: long non-coding RNA, 222 nt
Filed under: Gossypium raimondii (Peruvian cotton)
Lineage: Eukaryota; Viridiplantae; Streptophyta; Magnoliopsida; Malvales; Malvaceae
Description: long non-coding RNA (GRAI_LNC004418)
Source: RNAcentral